Molecule: ribosomal RNA, 1107 nt
Filed under: Triticum aestivum (bread wheat)
Lineage: Eukaryota; Viridiplantae; Streptophyta; Magnoliopsida; Poales; Poaceae
Description: partial small subunit ribosomal RNA
Source: RNAcentral
AUGGCGACCGCCGGGAAGGUGAUCAAGUGCAAAGCGGCGGUGGCGUGGGAGGCCGGGAAGCCGCUGUCUAUGGAGGAGGUGGAGGUGGCGCCGCCGCAGGCCAUGGAGGUGCGCGUCAAGAUCCUCUACACCGCGCUCUGCCACACUGACGUCUACUUCUGGGAGGCCAAGGGCCAAACUCCGGUUUUCCCUAGGAUCUUGGGCCAUGAAGCUGGAGGCAUUGUGGAGAGUGUUGGUGAGGGCGUGACUGAGCUGGUGCCGGGAGACCAUGUCCUCCCGGUGUUCACCGGAGAGUGCAAGGAGUGUGCCCACUGCAGGUCAGAGGAGAGCAACCUCUGUGACCUCCUCAGGAUCAAUGUCGACCGCGGUGUCAUGAUCGGCGACGGGCAGUCCCGCUUCACCAUCGACGGCAAACCGAUCUUCCACUUUGUUGGGACGUCCACCUUCAGCGAGUACACCGUGAUCCAUGUCGGGUGCCUCGCCAAGAUCGACCCCGAGGCGCCCCUCGACAAAGUCUGCCUCCUUAGCUGCGGUAUCUCAACCGGGCUAGGUGCCACCCUCAACGUCGCCAAGCCGAAGAAGGGUAUGACAGUGGCGAUUUUUGGUCUUGGAGCUGUGGGUCUCGCUGCCAUGGAAGGGGCCAGGAUGUCCGGCGCAUCGAGGAUUAUCGGUGUGGACUUGAACCCUGCGAAACACGAACAAGCUAAGAAAUUUGGCUGCACCGACUUUGUGAACCCCAAGGACCACACCAAGCCAGUGCAAGAGGUGAUCGUGGAGAUGACCGAUGGCGGAGUCGACCGGGCGGUGGAGUGCACGGGCAACGCCGACGCCAUGAUCUCCGCCUUCGAAUGCGUGCACGAUGGGUGGGGGGUGGCGGUGCUGGUGGGCGUGGCGCACAAGGAGGCGGUGUUCAAGACCCACCCCAUGAACUUCCUCAACGAGAGGACGCUGAGGGGCCUCCCCGGCGUGGUGGACAUGUACAUGAGGAAGGAGCUGGAGCUGGACAAGUUCAUCACCCACAGCGUGCCCUUCUCGCAGAUCAACACGGCCUUCGACCUCAUGCUCAAGGGGGAAGGCCUGCGCUGCGUCAUCAGGAUGGAGGAGUAG